Molecule: ribosomal RNA, 497 nt
Filed under: uncultured bacterium
Lineage: Bacteria
Description: partial 16S ribosomal RNA
Rfam family: Bacterial small subunit ribosomal RNA
Source: RNAcentral
GAUGAACGCUGGCGGCGUGCCUAAUACAUGCAAGUCGAGCGAACAGACGAGGAGCUUGCUCCUCUGACGUUAGCGGCGGACGGGUGAGUAACACGUGGAUAACCUACCUAUAAGACUGGGAUAACUUCGGGAAACCGGAGCUAAUACCGGAUAAUAUAUUGAACCGCAUGGUUCAAUAGUGAAAGACGGUUUUGCUGUCACUUAUAGAUGGAUCCGCGCCGCAUUAGCUAGUUGGUAAGGUAACGGCUUACCAAGGCAACGAUGCGUAGCCGACCUGAGAGGGUGAUCGGCCCCCCUGGAACUGAGACACGGUCCAGACUCCUACGGGAGGCCGCCGUAGGGAAUCUUCCGCAAUGGGCGAAAGCCUGACGGAGCAACGCCGCGUGAGUGAUGAAGGUCUUCGGAUCGUAAAACGCUGUUAUUAGGGAAGAACAAAUGUGUAAGUAACUAUGCACGUCUUGACGGUACCUAAUCAGAAAGCCACGGCUAACUACGUG